RNAcentral lists this long non-coding RNA (418 nucleotides) under Pandoravirus dulcis. RNAcentral describes it as "putative ncRNA". The record is from RNAcentral.
CGGACCCCAGCGCAUCCUGUAGGUGCCGGCGGCCAGUUGACGGCCCAGGGGCUGUGCCGGCUCGAUGGUCGUGCUGGGCGCGGCCCUGCGCCGUAUGCGCUCGUAGAUGGCGAUGGCCGCGACGAGCGCGAUCAGCAAUACCAGCGCGAUGCCGGCGAUGAUCCAACCCCAGGGUGUGCGCGACGGCGAUCCGAGCGCGGCCACGGGCGACGCUGCCGGUACGAGAAGGGCGCCCGAGGCCGUGUCCACAUAGGCCGACAUGGUCGGCGGCAACGUGCGCAAGAGAGGCGGCCCCGGCAAAAGAAGGGAUGGGCGCACGAGAAAGGUUGCCGAAAAAAGUAGGCGAAGGAAAGGAGCAACCGUGUAUGACAGAGAUGCCGCGGCUGUGUGUUGGUCUCUCUCUCUCUCUCUCUCUCUC